UUAGAGUUUGAUCCUGGCUCAGGAUGAACGCUAGCGGCAGGCUUAACACAUGCAAGUCGAGGGGCAGCAUGGGAGUAGCAAUACUUCUGAUGGCGACCGGCGCACGGGUGCGUAACGCGUAUGCAACCUACCUGUAACAGGGGGAUAACACUGAGAAAUCGGUACUGAUACCGCAUAACACUAUGAGAGGCAUCUCUUGUGGUUGAAAGUUUCGGCGGUUACAGAUGGGCAUGCGUUGUAUUAGCUGGUUGGUAAGGUAGCGGCUUACCAAGGCGACGAUACAUAGGGGGACUGAGAGGUUAACCCCCCACAUUGGUACUGAGACACGGACCAAAUUCCUACGGGAGGCAGCAGUGAGGAAUAUUGGUCAAUGGACGGAAGUCUGAACCAGCCAUGCCGCGUGCAGGAAGACGGCUCUAUGAGUUGUAAACUGCUUUUGUACAAGGGUAAACCUGAAUACGUGUAUUCAGCUGAAAGUACUGUACGAAUAAGGAUCGGCUAACUCCGUGCCAGCAGCCGCGGUAAUACGGAGGAUCCAAGCGUUAUCCGGAUUUAUUGGGUUUAAAGGGUGCGUAGGCGGAUUGAUAAGUUAGAGGUGAAAUGUCCGAGCUCAACUCGGGAACUGCCUCUAAUACUGUUGAUCUAGAGAGUAGAUGCGGUAGGCGGAAUGUAUGGUGUAGCGGUGAAAUGCUUAGAGAUCAUACAGAGCACCGAUUGCGAAGGCAGCUUACCAAUCUAUAUCUGACGUUGAGGCACGAAAGCGUGGGGAGCAAACAGGAUUAGAUACCCUGGUAGUCCACGCAGUAAACGAUGAUAGCUCGUUGUCGGCGAUACACAGUCGGUGACUAAGAGAAAUCGAUAAGCUAUCCACCUGGGGAGUACGUUCGCAAGAAUGAAACUCAAAGGAAUUGACGGGGGCCCGCACAAGCGGAGGAACAUGUGGUUUAAUUCGAUGAUACGCGAGGAACCUUACCCGGGCUUGAAAGUUAGUGACUGAUCUGGAAACAGGUCUUCCCUUCGGGGCACGAAACUAGGUGCUGCAUGGUUGUCGUCAGCUCGUGCCGUGAGGUGUCGGGUUAAGUCCCAUAACGAGCGCAACCCCUACUGAUAGUUGCCAUCAGGUCAAGCUGGGCACUCUAUCGGGACUGCCGGUGUAAGCCGGAGGAGGGUGGGGAUGACGUCAAAUCAGCACGGCCCUUACGUCCGGGGCGACACACGUGUUACAAUGGUAGGUACAGAGGGCCGCUACCCAGCGAUGGGGUGCAAAUCUCGAAAGCCUAUCUCAGUUCGGAUUGGAGGCUGAAACUCGCCUCCAUGAAGUUGGAUUCGCUAGUAAUCGCGCAUCAGCCAUGGUGCGGUGAAUACGUUCCCGGGCCUUGUACACACCGCCCGU
RNAcentral lists this ribosomal RNA (1393 nucleotides) under uncultured bacterium. RNAcentral describes it as "bacterial SSU rRNA". It matches the Rfam family "Bacterial small subunit ribosomal RNA". The record is from RNAcentral.